This 476-nucleotide ribosomal RNA is filed under the name uncultured organism. RNAcentral describes it as "partial 16S ribosomal RNA". It matches the Rfam family "Bacterial small subunit ribosomal RNA", at positions 333 to 800 of the family's 1533-position model. The record is from RNAcentral.
ACACUCCUGCGGGAGGCAGCAGUGGGGAAUAUUGCACAAUGGGCGCAAGCCUGAUGCAGCCAUGCCGCGUGUAUGAAGAAGGCCUUCGGGUUGUAAAGUACUUUCAGCGGGGAGGAAGGCAAUACGGUUAAUAACCGUGUUGAUUGACGUUACCCGCAGAAGAAGCACCGGCUAACUCCGUGCCAGCAGCCGCGGUAAUACGGAGGGUGCAAGCGUUAAUCGGAAUUACUGGGCGUAAAGCGCACGCAGGCGGUCUGUCAAGUCGGAUGUGAAAUCCCCGGGCUCAACCUGGGAACUGCAUUCGAAACUGGCAGGCUUGAGUCUUGUAGAGGGGGGUAGAAUUCCAGGUGUAGCGGUGAAAUGCGUAGAGAUCUGGAGGAAUACCGGUGGCGAAGGCGGCCCCCUGGACAAAGACUGACGCUCAGGUGCGAAAGCGUGGGGAGCAAACAGGAUUAGAUACCCUAGUAGUCCCAUGA